CAGAGGGUGCAAACGUUGUUCGGAAUUACUGGGCGUAAAGCACGUGUAGGCGGCCCUGCAAGUCGGGUGUGAAAUCCCAUGGCUCAACCAUGGAAGUGCACUCGAAACUGCAGGGCUAGAGUCCUGGAGAGAAAGGUGGAAUGCUUGGUGUAGAGGUGAAAUUCGUAGAUAUCAAGCGGAACACCGGUGGCGAAGGCGGCCUUCUGGACAGUGACUGACGCUGAGACGCGAAAGCGUGGGGAGCAAACAGGAUUAGAUACCCUGGUAGUCCACGCCGUAAACGAUGAGUGCCAGGUGUCACGGGCUUUGACCCUCGUGGUGCCGAAGCUAACGCGUUAAGCACUCCGCCUGGGGAGUACGGUCGCAAGACUA
Molecule: ribosomal RNA, 372 nt
Filed under: uncultured organism
Description: bacterial SSU rRNA
Rfam family: Bacterial small subunit ribosomal RNA
Source: RNAcentral